RNAcentral lists this ribosomal RNA (254 nucleotides) under uncultured bacterium. RNAcentral describes it as "partial 16S ribosomal RNA". It matches the Rfam family "Bacterial small subunit ribosomal RNA", at positions 524 to 776 of the family's 1533-position model. The record is from RNAcentral.
UACGAAGGGGGGCUAGCGUUGCUCGGAAUCACUGGGCGUAAAGCGCACGUAGGCGGACUCUUAAGUCGGUGGUGAAAUCCUGGAGCUCAACUCCAGAACUGCCUUUGAUACUGAAGAUCUUGAGUCCGGGAGAGGUGAGUGGAACUGCGAGUGUAGAGGUGAAAUUCGUAGAUAUUCGCAAGAACACCAGUGGCGAAGGCGGCUCACUGGCCCGGUACUGACGCUGAGGCACGAAAGCGUGGGGAGCAAACAGG